Long non-coding RNA from Scylla paramamosain (green mud crab), 729 nucleotides. RefSeq lists it as uncharacterized. The record is from RefSeq and is a predicted model, not a curated record. NCBI's taxonomy places the organism in Eukaryota, Metazoa, Arthropoda, Malacostraca, Decapoda, Portunidae. The transcript has 4 exons.
UACUGGUACGUCUGGCAACGAGGGUUUAAGAUCCCCAUCCUGUUGUCCCGCUGUUCGUACCUCUUAAAUUGGUGCUAUGUGGCAACUUUGCUAAUUACAAUUAUAAUGACUUAAUUAAAUUUUACAUGGUUAUACUUAUUUCAUAUUACUAUCAGACUAGUUGGUGCAUAUUAUUGGAAGGGAAAGAAUAUUUGUAGACUGGUGGGUGUGAUGAGCGACACGAGGGUGUGUAACCAAGGAGAGGCAGUGUUUGAGGGUCGCUCGUGCACUGCUGCCUUAUUUAACUUGGAUUUUGGCUGAACCAGACAGUAACACCAGGCGGGCUGCAUCUGUGUGCCUAGUGUGACGUUGGUGACUGCCAGGAAGCCUCCAGAGAGUCCCGGCGCCGCUCACAUGGAACAGGAAGGGCUAUAAUCUUGAAGCAACCCACGUCAGCUGAUCGGCGGCGACGAGGAGGAGCAGCACCAGCCAGUGCUGAAGGUCUGAGGAGCAGCCCAUCCAAUAUUAGUCACUCGUGGGAAGAAACGGCUAAUGUCAUACAAAGGACCCCUGGAGCAUGCAGCGCACACCUGACAGCUGCAAAGUUUCUGGCAAAGGGAAACAAGAAGACUGCAAGAAACAAGGCCCACUGAAGAUGCCAGUCCAACAUGUACUCCUCGCCUGCAGUAGUUGAAGUCAUAGGAAGGUGGAAAAACAUACCUACCUCUCGAUUCCGCCAGGUGUGUUUGA